This 477-nucleotide ribosomal RNA is filed under the name uncultured bacterium. RNAcentral's name for it is "partial 16S ribosomal RNA". It matches the Rfam family "Bacterial small subunit ribosomal RNA", at positions 30 to 507 of the family's 1533-position model. The record is from RNAcentral.
AUUGAACGCUGGCGGCAUGCCUUACACAUGCAAGUCGAACGGUAACAGGUUAAGCUGACGAGUGGCGAACGGGUGAGUAAUGUAUCGGAACGUGCCCAGUCGUGGGGGAUAACUGCUCGAAAGAGCAGCUAAUACCGCAUACGACCUGAGGGUGAAAGCGGGGGUUCGCAGGACCUCGGCGAAUUGGACCGGCGGAUAUCAGAUUAGGUAGUUGGUGAGGUAAAGGCUCACCAAGCCGACGAUCUGUAGCUGGUCUGAGAGGACGACCAGCCACACUGGGACUGAGACACGGCCCAGACUCCUACGGGAGGCAGCAGUGGGGAAUUUUGGACAAUGGGCGCAAGCCUGAUCCAGCCAUGCCGCGUGCGGGAAGAAGGCCUUCGGGUUGUAAACCGCUUUUGUCAGGGAAGAAAAGGUUCUGGCUAAUACCUGGGACUCAUGACGGUACCUGAAGAAUAAGCACCGGCUAACUACGUG